This 249-nucleotide long non-coding RNA is filed under the name Elaeis guineensis (African oil palm). Its description in RNAcentral is "long non-coding RNA (EGUI_LNC057996)". Lineage: Eukaryota; Viridiplantae; Streptophyta; Magnoliopsida; Arecales; Arecaceae. The record is from RNAcentral.
AAUCAAAUCAAAGGGUAGAAAGGGUUUUGAGAUAAGGUUGUGAUGUAAGAAAGAAAUCUCCAAACAUAAUUAGUGCACAUCCCUCUAUCUCUAAUUUUUUUUAUCAUACAAAAUAAAAUUUCCAUGCCCCAAUCAGAUGGAUUUCUAUUCUAUUUUGAAUCAUAUUCAAAUAAAAAAAAAUUAAGAAAAAAGAAUACCAAAUAAGGUGGGGCACCAACUAUUGGCGCCCCCUCGCCUUUCACGUGCGCA